GACGAACGCUGGCGGCGUGCUUAACACAUGCAAGUCGAACGGAAAGGCCCUGCUUUUGUGGGGUGCUCGAGUGGCGAACGGGUGAGUAACACGUGAGUAACCUGCCCUUGACUUUGGUAUAACUUCAGGAAACUGGGGCUAAUACCGGAUAGGAGCUCCUGCUGCAUGGUGGGGGUUGGAAAGUUUCGGCGGUUGGGGAUGGACUCGCGGCUUAUCAGCUUGUUGGUGGGGUAGUGGCUUACCAAGGCUUUGACGGGUAGCCGGCCUGAGAGGGUGACCGGCCACAUUGGGACUGAGAUACGGCCAAGAAUCCUACGGGAGGCAGCAGUGGGGAAUAUUGCACAAUGGGCGGAAGCCUGAUGCAGCAACGCCGCGUGCGGGAUGAAGGCCUUCGGGUUGUAACCCGCUUUCGCCUGUGACGAAGCGUGAGUGACGGUAAUGGGUAAAGAAGCACCGGCUAACUACGUG
This 468-nucleotide ribosomal RNA is filed under the name uncultured bacterium. RNAcentral's name for it is "partial 16S ribosomal RNA". It matches the Rfam family "Bacterial small subunit ribosomal RNA", at positions 28 to 507 of the family's 1533-position model. The record is from RNAcentral.